GUGAAUCAUCAAAUUUUUGAACGCAUAUUGCACUCUCUGGUAUUCCGGAGAGUAUGCCUAUUUGAGGGUCAUUUGAAAUAAUAUUCAUUCCAAGUUUUUUCGUAAUUUAAAAUGGGCUGUCUAUUUUUUGUGGUCGCUUAGAAUACAAGACCAGCUCAUUUUCGUGGGUUGUGUGAUACUUUCAGUUUGAUCGUGAGUUAACCAGCGAUCAUUGGGCGUGUUAUGAAUUUUGCUAGAGAUAAAACAUUCUAUAGAUUUAUCUCAUGCGAAAUAGAAAUCG
RNAcentral lists this unclassified non-coding RNA (280 nucleotides) under Ambisporaceae sp. RNAcentral's name for it is "partial contains 5.8S ribosomal RNA and internal transcribed spacer 2". The stretch from base 1 to 71 matches the Rfam family "5.8S ribosomal RNA", at positions 84 to 154 of the family's 154-position model. Lineage: Eukaryota; Fungi; Glomeromycota; Glomeromycetes; Archaeosporales; Ambisporaceae. The record is from RNAcentral.